RNAcentral lists this ribosomal RNA (468 nucleotides) under uncultured bacterium. RNAcentral's name for it is "partial 16S ribosomal RNA". It matches the Rfam family "Bacterial small subunit ribosomal RNA", at positions 28 to 507 of the family's 1533-position model. The record is from RNAcentral.
GACGAACGCUGGCGGCGUGCUUAACACAUGCAAGUCGAACGGAAAGGCCCUGCUUUUGUGGGGUGCUCGAGUGGCGAACGGGUGAGUAACACGUGAGUAACCUGCCCUUGACUUUGGGAUAACUUCAGGAAACUGGGGCUAAUACCGGAUAGGAGCUCCUGCUGCAUGGUGGGGGUUGGAAAGUUUCGGCGGUUGGGGAUGGACUCGCGGCUUAUCAGCUUGUUGGUGGGGUAGUGGCUUACCAAGGCUUUGACGGGUAGCCGGCCUGAGAGGGUGACCGGCCACAUUGGGACUGAGAUACGGCCCAGAGUCCUACGGGAGGCAGCAGUGGGGAAUAUUGCACGAUGGGCGGAAGCCUGAUGCAGCAACGCCGCGUGCGGGAUGACGGCCUUCGGGUUGUAAACCGCUUUCGCCUGUGACGAAGCGUGAGUGACGGUAAUGGGUAAAGAAGCACCGGCUAACUACGUG